UGAUAGUUUCUCUAUAUAGCG
This is a non-coding RNA of Caenorhabditis elegans, 21 nucleotides long. The record is from Ensembl. Lineage: Eukaryota; Metazoa; Nematoda; Chromadorea; Rhabditida; Rhabditidae.